GCCCUGGUGGUACAACAGGUAAGUGCUUGACUGUUAACCAAAAGGUUGGUGGUUCGAACCCACCCAGUGGUU
Molecule: transfer RNA, 72 nt
Filed under: Loxodonta africana (African savanna elephant)
Lineage: Eukaryota; Metazoa; Chordata; Mammalia; Proboscidea; Elephantidae
Rfam family: tRNA
About the family: Transfer RNA (tRNA) molecules are approximately 80 nucleotides in length. Their secondary structure includes four short double-helical elements and three loops (D, anti-codon, and T loops).
Source: Rfam by way of RNAcentral